This 93-nucleotide non-coding RNA is filed under the name uncultured Ruminococcus sp. RNAcentral describes it as "THF riboswitch". It matches the Rfam family "THF (Tetrahydrofolate) riboswitch aptamer". From Rfam's summary of the family: THF riboswitch presents a pseudoknot that joins P1-P2 and the loop of P3 and two THF binding. Lineage: Bacteria; Bacillati; Bacillota; Clostridia; Eubacteriales; Oscillospiraceae. RNAcentral also lists the same sequence under 1 other name. The record is from RNAcentral.
AGAGUAGAAGGCUGUGCGUUAAGUGUCCGAGGGACGGGGAGUUGCUUUCGGAACGAAAAGACAUUUCUUGCGAUACAGCAUUCGCAUCCCGCU